CGCUUGUCUUGCAUGCAUUACCAACUUGCAUUAUGGUUUCAGCAGGGAUACAUUAACCAGUUCUAUAGUUUUCAUGGUCACCUUUUUUUGGGUUAAAUAUUGUUUUCAUGCCCUUGUAUGCUAAGAAUGGUUGGUGAGAAUAAAAUUUGAUGCCCUCUAAGUUACUUAGUUUUAAGUCUGAAAAUGGUGGUGAGGCCACAAGGCUUGCUAAAUUGUAGCAUUUCAGUGUUCAAAAUUGAAUCGUUUAUUUUCCUUCUUUUAUCCUGAAAAUGUAACUAUCAAGAAGUAGUUCAUCCAUUCAUCUCUUUUAUGUUGAUUUCAUCGGUGAAAAUUACUAGGGCAUUAGACUUAGUUCUAGAAUCCAGAGUAAGACUAGAAAUUGGUGGCCUGCUGCCGGUAUCUCUUGUACAAUUAAAUAUAUGUUGGAGAAAUUGCACUUCAGACUUAAUUCACGGUUAACCCUUGUGUUUGGAAUGGUGUGACAAUGAACCUUUAUCCUCACAGAAACACACAAGUCCAAGAUCACCAAAUUGGUACAUCCAAUGGUCUAGUGUGCUUUGGGAAUACACUGUUAUUCCUGUCAAAUAUUGUUGAUAGCUCAUGUGCUUUAGUGAAAGGGCCCUCCACCUCCAACUGCGACGUUGGGGUUUGAGUCAACAAGGGAGCAAAUUAGGAAAGCCACUCUGUCCGACUCUUGUCUUUGUGAGGGUGGGGGUUAUGUACCAAUUGUUCAUUGUAAACAAUGCAUAUGAUUGUAGUGAUAGAUGAAAACGUGAUUACUUCUUAUGGUAUAUUUCUCAUACACUCAUUUUUGAUGAAGAUCUUUCCUUAGACCAGUCCAUUGGUUGGACAAUUGGUGGUUCUUGAGAAAGAUAUUGUGCAGAUAAGAACUUGUGGUUGUUGAAUUUGGCUAUUUUUGCAUUUGGUGAUUUGAUAUCUAUUUUUAGCUCCUUAAAUCUCUAUUUAGUGAUAUCUUCUUUUAAAGGUAAUGAUUGUUUUUGUUCUGCCUAGACAUUUGAUUUACAAUGUCAGAUUUGGAAUUUCUCCCGACUCUGCUUGAGGUAUUCAGCUUUUAGUAUAUGCACUUUGUGCUGUUUGUUUGUUGAAUCGGAAGAAUUGGUAUGAAAAAAUAGUGCUAAUCUGCUCUCAACAGUGAGAUGAAAUUUUAUUCAGUACAAGAUUUCACUCCCUAGUGUAAAAGGAGAGACUGGAGUGAGUACUGUCGAAAUGAUAACAGUAUAGAAGUAUGAUAAUUAAGAGUGCUCCUAGAGUUUUUCGUACUCCUCACCCGGGGUUGGGUGAGGCUAGGUAGGGCUAUCCAUAGAUGAUUUGUGUAUUGGAUUGUGUCUCCCUUAUGGUAGUUUUUGGGUGAGGCUAGGUAGGGCUAUCCGUAGAUGAUUUGUGUAUUGGAUUGUGUCUCCCUUAUGGUAGUUAUUUAUGGUACUUACUGUAUGCUAUUAUUUGCAUGCUAUUUUAUUUAUGGUUCUUAUGUUUAGAUAAUUAUUUACGCUAUUUCUGUUGNNN
Molecule: long non-coding RNA, 1524 nt
Filed under: Nicotiana benthamiana
Lineage: Eukaryota; Viridiplantae; Streptophyta; Magnoliopsida; Solanales; Solanaceae
Description: long non-coding RNA (NBEN_LNC005173)
Source: RNAcentral